AGAGUUUGAUUAUGGCUCANNGUGAACGCUGGCGGCAGGCCUAACACAUGCAAGUCGAGCGGCAGCACGGUAGCAAUACUGGUGGCGAGCGGCGGACGGGUGAGGAAUACAUCGGAAUCUGCCUUAUUGUGGGGGAUAACGUAGGGAAACUUACGCUAAUACCGCAUAAGACCGAAAGGUGAAAGUGGGGGACCGCAAGGCCUCACGCGAUAAGAUGAGCCGAUGUCGGAUUAGCUAGUUGGUGAGGUAAUGGCUCACCAAGGCGACGAUCCGUAGCUGGUCUGAGAGGAUGAUCAGCCACACUGGAACUGAGACACGGUCCAGACUCCUACGGGAGGCAGCAGUGGGGAAUAUUGGACAAUGGGCGCAAGCCUGAUCCAGCCAUGCCGCGUGGGUGAAGAAGGCCUUCGGGUUGUAAAGCCCUUUUGUUGGGGAAGAAAUCGUACGGUUGAAUAUUCCGUGCGGAUGACGGUACCCAAAGAAUAAGCACCGGCUAACUUCGUGCCAGCAGCCGCGGUAAUACGAAGGGUGCAAGCGUUACUCGGAAUUACUGGGCGUAAAGCGUGCGUAGGCGGUUUGUUAAGUCUGUCGUGAAAGCCCUGGGCUUAACCUGGGAAUUGCGAUGGAUACUGGCAAGCUAGAGUACGGUAGAG
This 653-nucleotide ribosomal RNA is filed under the name uncultured bacterium. RNAcentral describes it as "bacterial SSU rRNA". It matches the Rfam family "Bacterial small subunit ribosomal RNA", at positions 8 to 656 of the family's 1533-position model. The record is from RNAcentral.